RNAcentral lists this ribosomal RNA (816 nucleotides) under Cryptosporidium felis. Its description in RNAcentral is "partial 18S ribosomal RNA". It matches the Rfam family "Eukaryotic small subunit ribosomal RNA", at positions 216 to 1053 of the family's 1831-position model. The record is from RNAcentral. Lineage: Eukaryota; Apicomplexa; Conoidasida; Eucoccidiorida; Cryptosporidiidae.
AAAGAACCAAUAUUUUUUUUUUUUGGUGACUCAUAAUAACUUUACGGAUCACAAUUUAUUUUGUGACAUAUCAUUCAAGUUUCUGACCUAUCAGCUUUAGACGGUAGGGUAUUGGCCUACCGUGGCUAUGACGGGUAACGGGGAAUUAGGGUUCGAUUCCGGAGAGGGAGCCUGAGAAACGGCUACCACAUCUAAGGAAGGCAGCAGGCGCGCAAAUUACCCAAUCCUAAUACAGGGAGGUAGUGACAAGAAAUAACAAUACAGGACUUUACGGUUUUGUAAUUGGAAUGAGUUAAGUAUAAACCCCUUUACAAGUAUCAAUUGGAGGGCAAGUCUGGUGCCAGCAGCCGCGGUAAUUCCAGCUCCAAUAGCGUAUAUUAAAGUUGUUGCAGUUAAAAAGCUCGUAGUUGGAUUUCUGUUAAUACCUUAUAUAUAAUAUUUUUUAAAUAUUAAUAUGUAAGAUUAACAUAAUUCAUAUUUUUAAGACUGAAUUUUUAGUUUUGAUAAUAUGAAAUUUUACUUUGAGAAAAUUAGAGUGCUUAAAGCAGGCUUUUGCCUUGAAUACUCCAGCAUGGAAUAAUAAUAAAAGAUUUUUAUCUUUUUUUUAUUGGUUCUAAGAUAAAAAUAAUGAUUAAUAGGGACAGUUGGGGGCAUUUGUAUUUAACAGUCAGAGGUGAUAUUCUUAGAUUUGUUAAAGACAAACUAAUGCGAAAGCAUUUGCCAAGGAUGUUUUCAUUAAUCAAGAACGAAAGUUAGGGGAUCGAAGACGAUCAGAUACCGUCGUAGUCUUAACCAUAAACUAUGCCAACUAGAGAU